Molecule: non-coding RNA, 328 nt
Organism: Danio rerio (zebrafish)
Lineage: Eukaryota; Metazoa; Chordata; Actinopteri; Cypriniformes; Danionidae
Source: RefSeq, a predicted model, not a curated record
CAGAUAUUUCAGAUUCAGAGAUAUUGGAAGUGUACCAAGAUUGUAUUCAUUUUUGGGAAAUCUUGUCAAAAGAUGCUGAAAGAAACAAAAGGCUACCAUGAGUGACCCUCUGAGUACUAAAACUUUGCUACAGAUCCGGUACUUUCUUCAUGAAGGAGCUCCACCAAGAGAGCUGGACUGGUCCUGAGAUGACAUCAACUUGGUAGAUGCCAAGUGCGGAGGAUGGAAGGGGAUAGUCAAAAAAGAGUUCAUGUUUGCUGAAGGUAGUGUAGGUCACGUAAAUGUCAUCAUUUUCUGAAAAUAUGUUUUCUAGCUUUGAAACCUUUCC